GGGGCUGUAGCGCAGCUGGUAGCGCACCUCCAUGGCAUGGAGGGGGUCAGGGGUUCGAGUCCCCUCAGCUCCACCG
This 76-nucleotide transfer RNA is filed under the name uncultured Nocardioidaceae bacterium. RNAcentral describes it as "tRNA-Ala-GGC". It matches the Rfam family "tRNA". From Rfam's summary of the family: Transfer RNA (tRNA) molecules are approximately 80 nucleotides in length. Lineage: Bacteria; Bacillati; Actinomycetota; Actinomycetes; Propionibacteriales; Nocardioidaceae. The record is from RNAcentral.